GACGAACGCUGGCGGCGUGCUUAACACAUGCAAGUCGAACGGAAAGGCCCUGCUCUUGUGGGGCGUUCGAGUGGCGAACGGGUGUGUAACACGCGAGUAACCUAUCCUUGACUUUGGGAUACCUCCAGGAAACUGGGGUUAAUAUCGGACAUGAGCUCCUGCUGCAUGGUGGGGGUUGGAAAGUUUCGGCGGUUGGGGAUGGACUCGCGGCUUAUCAGCUUGUUGGUGGGGUAGUGGCUUACCAAGGCUUUGACGGGUAGCCGGCCUGAGAGGGUGACCGGCCCCAUUGGGACUGAGAUACGGCCCGGACUCCUACGGGAGGCAGCGGUGGGGGUUAUUGCACGAUGGGCGGAAGCCUGAUGCAGCGACGCCGCGUGCGGGAUGACGGCCUUCGGGUUGUAAACCGCUUUCGCCUGUGACGAAGCGUGAGUGACGGUAAUGAAUAAGAAAGCACCGGCUAACUACGUG
RNAcentral lists this ribosomal RNA (468 nucleotides) under uncultured bacterium. Its description in RNAcentral is "partial 16S ribosomal RNA". It matches the Rfam family "Bacterial small subunit ribosomal RNA", at positions 28 to 507 of the family's 1533-position model. The record is from RNAcentral.